Molecule: ribosomal RNA, 798 nt
Filed under: uncultured bacterium
Lineage: Bacteria
Description: bacterial SSU rRNA
Rfam family: Bacterial small subunit ribosomal RNA
Source: RNAcentral
GUCGAACGAUACCAAGGGGCUUGCUCCUUGGAAAAGUGGCGCACGGGUGCGUAACGCGUAUGCAACCUACCUUAAUCAGGGGGAUAGCCCGGAGAAAUCCGGAUUAACACCGCAUAAAAACACAGGAUAGCAUUAUCCAAUGUUCAAAUAUUUAUAGGAUUAAGAUGGGCAUGCGUGUCAUUAGCUAGUUGGCGGGGUAACGGCCCACCAAGGCGACGAUGACUAGGGGAUCUGAGAGGAUGGCCCCCCACACUGGUACUGAGACACGGACCAGACUCCUACGGGAGGCAGCAGUAAGGAAUAUUGGUCAAUGGAGGCAACUCUGAACCAGCCAUGCCGCGUGCAGGAAGACUGCCCUAUGGGUUGUAAACUGCUUUUAUCCGGGAAUAAACCACAUUACGAGUAAUGUGCUGAAUGUACCGGAAGAAUAAGGAUCGGCUAACUCCGUGCCAGCAGCCGCGGUAAUACGGAGGAUCCAAGCGUUAUCCGGAUUUAUUGGGUUUAAAGGGUGCGUAGGCGGCCUGUUAAGUCAGGGGUGAAAGACGGUAGCUCAACUAUCGCAGUGCCCUUGAUACUGAUGAGCUUGAAUGCAGCUGAGGUAGGCGGAAUGUGACAAGUAGCGGUGAAAUGCAUAGAUAUGUCACAGAACACCGAUUGCGAAGGCAGCUUACUAAAGUGCGAUUGACGCUGAGGCACGAAAGCGUGGGGAUCAAACAGGAUUAGAUACCCUGGUAGUCCACGCCCUAAACGAUGAAUACUCGAUGUUGGCGAUAUACGGUCAGCGUCUAAGCGAAAGCG